RNAcentral lists this long non-coding RNA (270 nucleotides) under Carica papaya (papaya). Its description in RNAcentral is "long non-coding RNA (CPAP_LNC012255)". The record is from RNAcentral. Lineage: Eukaryota; Viridiplantae; Streptophyta; Magnoliopsida; Brassicales; Caricaceae.
AACAAAAAGGUCGACGAGUAAGCUGAAAAAUUACGAAUAAAGCUCGACCGAGCCGUCGGAGCUAAAACUCAAAACCCUUUCCGAUGACCCCUUUUCCGUUUUUCAUUUCACGUAAUUUUUUGACCACCAUGUUCACUAUCAUUUUUUGGUAUAGGUUAGCCGAAGGAUAACUGUAGCCGCAAAGGAAGACUGGUUGAGUCAUCGUACCGUCGGUAAGGUUUCAGUUUUUUUGAAUUUUUCGGUCAACCAAGACCUCAUAACUCAUUUUUU